CUGGCCUAUUUAGGGGAGCGCUACCCCCCAGUUGUUGUCUCGCUAGCAAAACAGGCCCGAGAAAUAACGUGAUAACGAGCGACCGAGACGAUUUUUUCGGGAAUCCUGGCCCAUAUCAAAGUAGGAGUACCUCACGUUUCCGUGAGAUGGAGAUUUAUUGGUGGGGCGGUGCCCUGGCCUGCGGAAUCCGUGUUAGGUCAGUUACUUGACCCUUCCGCCGGCGCCGACGCAAUUCCCCGCCUCGCCCUGUUCGAUCCAAAUCGAGCCGUACUCGCGAGAGCGAGAUCCAAAUCGAGAUUUCUCGACCCUAGGUCUCGUCGAACCAUGGGUCAGCUGAUGCUCAAUCGGGUGAUAUCGAUGCAGCGGGAAAGUCGUCGCCUGCAAAUACAACCCCAUAGUAAGUGACCGCCUCGUUGUUAUUUUCAUCAGGCACAAGACCAGGUAAGGCAAGUAGAUUCUUGUAGGUUGAUCUAGUCUAGUGUCUAUUUGAGCGUAAAAUUUUGAUUUUUUUUCAUAGAGAAAACUGUUUGGGUGAGCUAAGGUUUCUAUGGUACUCCCUCCGUCCCAUAAUAUAAGAGCGUUUUUGACACUACACUAGUGUAAAAAACACUCUUAUAUUAUGGGACGGAGGGAGUAGUAUAGAAGGAUUUUGUGGAUCGAUUUGGGUAAAGAUCAAAUUUUUGUGUGUGUUGUUCAUAUGUACUCCCUCUGUAAAGAAAUAUAAGAUCAUUUAGAUCACUACUUUAGCGAUCUAAAUGAUCUUAUAUUUCUUUACUGACGGAGUACCCGAGUUAUGAAAAAUUUGCUAUAACAUCAGUGUAGCCACUCAAAUAUUACAUAGUAAGCAUACAUUGGAUUUGAAGAGGCCCCAUUUGUCUUCCAUGCUAAAGUUGGCAGGUGGCUGCCGUGCUUAGGCUGUAUGGGGUCUGAGACGAUCCUUGACAAUACAACAGAGGGGAACUCAAGUCGACUGUCUAUGCACCCUCUGGAUAAUGUGUUCCCCUGUCUUGUUUUAUUUGUUUGAGCAUCCUCAACGAUAUACUUGGGUGGUAUUGCAAUCUUCUAUAACUUUCCACCUGUAAUCAUAUGUAUUAUGUAUUGCGGAUGGACCAGCUGAUUCAAUGGUUGACAGAAAGGACUCAACCUGCAAACAAGACCAUUGUUCCCAAGGUGGUGAAAUACAAUACCCUGGGCCACAUCUUCCAGAGGAUAUUUGGUGUCAUAUAUAUUCCCUACUGCCAAUGCGAGAUGCUGCUCGAGCUGCUUGUGUGUCUCAUGCAUUUAAACGUUCUUGGAGAUGCUAUCCGAACCUUGCUUUCAAUAUGAUAACAUUGGGCAUUGAUAUAGAAUCAUGUGGAGAGGACGGAAUAGCAAGAAAUUUUACCAACAAAGUUGACCACAUUUUGAAAAACCGCCCAUGCAUUGCCACCAAGACGCUCGAGAUUGUUUUCCGUUACUACAAUGCCAAAGUCUGUAACAUUGAUAGCUGGUUUCAGGCUGCUGUUACACCGGGGAUUGAAGAACUCACUAUAGAACUAUCUUCAAAGUCAGGAAGAUAUUACAACUUUCCGUGGUCACUUUUAGCCAAUGAGAGUGGAAACUCGAUUCGGUAUCUAAAUCUUGCCCGUUGUGCUUUCUCUCCGACUGACGAGUUGUGCUUUAAAAGCUUGUCAAGACUCGAGCUAAGCGAUGUUGCUAUUACGGGGGACCAGUUGGGAUCCAUUCUUCACAAUUCUUUUGCUUUGCAACGGAUGCAACUAAAGUUUUGCAAUAAGAUAAUUUGCUUGAAGAUACCUUUUCAUCUACAACAGCUCAGAUAUCUGGACGUGUUUGAUGGCGGCAGCUCGCUGCGGGUUAUAGAGCUAUGUUUGUGCUGAUUUUCUGUCCAGCUUGCGAUAUGUUGAAGAUCUUUCCCUAGGUUCACGUUGUGAGAUGAUUGAUACACCAGUUCUACAUAGCAAAUUCCUGCAUCUCAAGCACUUGAAUGUUGAUCUUCAAGCAAUGACAUUUUCCCCGACCUACGACUAUUGUUCUUUGAUAUCACUUUUUGAUGCUUCUCCUUUCUUGGAGACCCUUGUCAUGAAUGUGUUGCAGCAAAAGAUGUUGCACGAGUCAAUCGUGGGAGAUGCAUCACAUUUGAGGCAGAUGCCAGGACACCACCAUGAUAGCCUCAAGACAGUGAAGAUCAUUGGUUUCUCCUCUGCGAAGAGCUUAGUAGAGCUAACAUGCCAUAUCAUUGAGAAUACGAGCUCACUUGAGAGCCUUACAUUGAACACCACAACAGGACAUCCUUUCGACAGCUGUUUAACCAACAAUACUGGAAAGUGCAACCUGUUGGGCGUGGAUUUUAUGGUGGAAGUUGGUAGAGGGCUCUUGGCUAUCAGGACAUAUGUUGAGCCAAAAGUUCCCUCCGGAGUUGAGCUAAAUGUUGUGGAGCCUUGCCGCCGAUGCCAUGAUCAACCACCGCCGAUGCCAUGAUUCCUGUGUAAAAGUUCCCGCAAGACAUCAUAAGUACCCUAUGAUUCCUGUGUAAAAGUUAAACUAGAACGUCGAGGAACCUUCUGCUGCUGCUACCCGGGUUAUAUACCCAAAACCCAAUAUUUAAUGUAACUAGUAGGCUGUGUGUUGCGACGUACCCUUUGCUGUUUGGGUAGCCAGUUUUUAGAGAAAAUCCAAUUUCUAUUAUAACA
This 2690-nucleotide ribosomal RNA is filed under the name Triticum aestivum (bread wheat). RNAcentral describes it as "partial small subunit ribosomal RNA". The stretch from base 551 to 637 matches the Rfam family "MIR1120/MIR1122 microRNA precursor family". Lineage: Eukaryota; Viridiplantae; Streptophyta; Magnoliopsida; Poales; Poaceae. The record is from RNAcentral.